CCUGAGAAACCCAAAAGAUCGAAUAGGGAGAUUCAUCGUCAGCAUAUUUCGUAUAUGUAURAGUUAUGAUGUGGGUUACUUUUGUAUUGCUUGCACAUUCUUGUACAUUUAGUUUCGGAAUAUGUCGGCGUGCACUUCUCCCUUAGUAGAACGUCGCAACCCGUUGAGUGUCGGUCUAUGRCCCGAGUGGGAGCCUUUAAUGUUUUUAACAUUGAAGACCCUUGGUGUUCUGACCGACUGCUCGGCGGUACUCGUAUGGUAUUAAGYCGCAUGMUUUAUGCGUUCAUAUCUGUCACAAGCGAGGUCAAUUUCUGGCAGUACGGACCUAGUGCCGUCGUUGGAUUUGACCAGCUGUUGGUUGACGGUAUUCUAGGACAGGCUCAUACCGGU
Molecule: ribosomal RNA, 390 nt
Filed under: Spathius sp. RDB-2000
Lineage: Eukaryota; Metazoa; Arthropoda; Insecta; Hymenoptera; Braconidae
Description: eukaryotic LSU rRNA
Source: RNAcentral